This is a long non-coding RNA of Bombus pyrosoma, 4273 nucleotides long. RefSeq lists it as uncharacterized. NCBI's taxonomy places the organism in Eukaryota, Metazoa, Arthropoda, Insecta, Hymenoptera, Apidae. The transcript has 2 exons. The record is from RefSeq and is a predicted model, not a curated record.
UAUAUAUCGUACUCUUGUACUCUAUAAUCAUUUUUUAAUAAUGCUAAGAAUAUAAUAUUCAUUCAUCUUUAUGUAUUUAUGUGUGUGUAUUAUUAAUUAAUAUUUUAUGUAUCGAUAUGUCACUAUAUAUUUCAUAUAUAUGACGAAAUUUUAUUUUAACUUUUUCUCUUAUUUGCUAGAAAAGCUCGUAAUAUUCAAUGGGCACUGGUUAAUACAUAUCUACGAUAAUAACGCUAUUUUUAUUUAAAUUUAAAACCGGUAUGACUAGGUACGAAUGCAUUUUCGCAAUGAUGACAUCUUGCGGUAAAUAAAUCCACGUUUCAGGACCGUAACUUCUCCUUUGUGUGACAAUUAAAUAUACUUAUAUUAUUAUUAUCUUGGUGAAAAUAGCUUCGAUAUUUAAUCAAAUUUAAAUAAACCUAUUAAAUCCGAUUUAUUAAAUUUUGGAUUUUUAUACUGGAUUUUAUACUGGUAGCAAAAGUAUAAACAGUUUACGAAAUGUAAAUUCAAGAAAUUAAAAAUAAGAUUAAAUAUUCUUUCUUAAUGGGGGUGUAGUUUUCGUAAAAAUCGUAAAAAAAUAACUUAAUUAAAAUAAAUUCCAAUGUUACUAUCAAUAUAAUCGUACGGUUUCUUAAAAACAGAAUGUUGAAAGCAGUAAAAAUUAACAGAAAAAUACGUUUAAAAUUCAUUUUCCCUUCGAAGAAUAUCGGAAAUAAAACACGGAGAGAAUUUAAUAUUAAACAGAAGAAUAUUUCUAUUAAACAAAUGUUUCCGAUCAAUGUUUAUAUUGUUAACGUCAUCUCAUACGGCAUGGGACAUGUUAGUGAAAUUAUUUAUUAAAAUCAGGUAGGACAUUAGCAACGAAGAAGGAACAUAAUACCUCUCGUACAGGUUGCAAUUCACCAACGAAUAAUUUCAACAAGAAGAGUUUAUGAUUUCGUUACGUUGGUUGUAUCAAAGAAUACUGUUCUAUCAUUUUUCUUUCGAAGAGUAUCGUUUCGUACAACAGAAUCUCGCUCUUACUCAAAUUUUAGAGACACUGGAAUGCACGUGGGUAGCAAUAAAGUAUAUUAUUAAUACAGUCUCAACAUCUUCUACUUUCGCGAUACAUGAAAAAUUGAGAAAAUUGUCGGCGUGCGUUUCACCUACAUGUACACAUGUGCAACAGCAUUCUUUCGAUGUUAAACAAAUAGCAAACAAAUUUCGAUAACUCUUACGCAAUUACGUAUAUAUUUGGAUCUCGUUUGUCCAUGAUAGACACCUUCGAGAUUCCACUAACUGUUUUUCGGUCUCGCGGGGAAAUUUGAAGUUGACGAAUAUUUGUUUCUAAUUUCUAGAAUACUUUUCAAUCACGUCCUUGACAGUGAAGAUUUCUCCGGUGAGCUUUCAAACGCUGCCUCGAAAGUAAUUCUUCCCUUUUUCUUUAUUUUCUUUUUUUUCUCUUUUUUUUCCUGUUACUUCUUCCGAUUGAUCGAUAGAGCAACAUUUUUUUUCAAGCUUUUUGCAUCUUGCCGCAUUUCGUUAUUUUAUGAUUCGAAAAUAAUGUCGACAAGAUUAAUUGCCAUGUGGUAAGAUAUCUAACAGAGGCAACACCUAAAACGAGAACCUUGCUCUCGGAAAUAUAAAAGUCGCGCGCGAAGAAACCUCUAUUCGAAAUUCCUGUCUUUCGAAGGACGAUCUUCUACGAUGCUCAGUCUCUCGGAGAAAUUUGUUUACCGAAAAUACGUACAUUUAUGUAUAUUUGUAUAAUUAAUGUAACAUCGUGAGUACUUUUUUGCUGAUUACACACAGAGAACAAAAGUGAUAUACGCGACAUCUUUCUCUUAUUUAUUACUACGCGAGGGAGUCGCGGACAUAAAAUUAACAAAGCAUCGCUACAACUCCCUUUUUUUUCUUUUACGUCGCUUUUAUGUUUCUCGAAUCGCUAAAUGUAUGUAUAUAUUUAUAUAUAUAUAUAUAUUAUAUAUAUAUAUAUAUAUAAAAACCAGCAUUCUUUGUGCACAGUACACUGUAUAUAGUCGACUUCCGUUAACGCGCACCAGUCGAGUGAUUAAUAACUUGAAUUAGUUAGUUACACAUAGUUCAAGUACAUUUACAUACAUAUCCUUAUCACAUACUAUUCGAAAACUCGUGUUAUUUGCAUGUGAAUUAUAACAAUUUCGAUAUGGAUUGUACAUAUAUUAAUGUUCUUUAGUCAGGUAUGCCUGUGUGACCCCCUGAACGAUGUUAUCCUCAUUCUCGACGCGAUGAUACUGAAAUUUCUUUGACAUUUUUUUUUUUUCAUGUUAUUUUUAUAAAAUAUGUCUUUCGAUAAUAGUAUAGAAAUAUAUUUUUUUGACGGACAAAGUCGACGCAGAAAAGAUUAAAUUUCAUUUUAUAGAAGAUACGAAGAUGAUAAAAGGAAGGAAAACAUAUUCAGAGAGAACAUUCAUUGUUGAAAUAAUGUUCGAAUAUCGAAAUAAUGAAAUAUACAAAAUAAAUGAGGGAAUAACGCUUUUAACGAUACGUAAUAUAAUAAUUUAUGUUACGUCGAUCGUUUUGACUAUGUUAGAGAUAAAGGAUAUCGUCGAGAAUAUUGAAACAGCGUAGAGGAGCACGAUGAUAUCGAUAAAUAAACUCAUAUUCGACGUUCAUUAUUUUGCAACUUUCCAUGGAUAGUGUUCUGUUGCAUCGAACAAAUUAGCGUGACAAACGUAGCAUGAACGAAAGAGAUUUUAAUAAUUUUGCACACCUGUUCACUUAGCACACCUGCACAUUGGUAACAACGAUAUCAACGUUUUUUCUUAUCAAUAACGAUAUUAAUAAUCUCAUCUUACUUGUAUCAUUGUAACGUAACUUUAUUGUUAAAACUUAAUGGACAAGUACGUUCAUCGUUCCAAUUUCACUAACAAUUUUCUGCAUAAUUUAAGUAUCAUUAUAAAGUAUAAUUUAAUUAAAACGGGGCAUAGAAUAAUUUUUUAAAUACCUUUUUUUAAAAAGGUAUGCCAAUAAAAAGAAGAUUACAGACGUUUUUCGCAUUUAAAUACAAAUUUCCAUAGAUAUCGAAUCACUGAAAUCAAAUGUAUUGUUACAAUGUUCGUUCUAACUUAGUAGCACUUGUAUAUGCUCAUCGUCCUUUAAGUAUUAACAAAAACAAAAUGGAAUAAAGCGUUUUCUAUUUAUACAUAGUCUAAACAUGUCGCAGUCAGGUUUCCUAAACGCAUUUUAAAUACGCUAUUCAGUAGUGCUUGCGUAUAUGUAUAUACUUCGAUUUAUCUCAUGUAUACAUAUGUAUGCUCUUCAUUAAAGUCUAUUAUUUUUUCUACCAGUACAUUCACCUUGUGGUAUAUGCAAACAGAUCUGCGGAAAAAAUACAAAGAUCAUCGAACGAAUUUUAUUUCUUCUAUUGUUCCAACUUUCUUGCAUUAUAAUUAUCAAAUAAAUAUCUUGUAGUAAUCUAAAGGCUACACAAUUUACACAUGAGAUUUACAGAAAGAAUAGGAAUUACUUUUAAAAAAUAAAACAUUUUAAACGAUAUAAUAAAUUGAGAGCAUUCUAGAAUAAUAUUCAUUCAUUUUGAAUAAAAAUCUAAUCAUUCAAUUAAUAGCAAGAAAAGAAUAAUAUCAUCUUGUAAAAUAAUUAUAGAAAUAUCGUUGUUAAAUAUUAAACGAUGGGAAUAGAUAUAAUGAAAUUUCGUCAAACGAUGUAUCAUUCAUUACUACUAGUAAAAUAUAGUUCGUACAACCGAAGAUUAAUUCGACUCUUUGGACGAGGCCCUCUAAAUUAUUGGAAUUAAGCGUGGCGGCCUUAGGUCAUUUGGUUUAUUCCGAUAAAUAUUCAUUCUGGCACACACGUCUUCAAUUCCCGCGAGUUACUACUUUUUUGCCACUGUGUGAUGUAUGCAUGUAUGUAUACUCUCGAAGCAUCCAAAACAGCAACGAUAUCGAUACACAAUAAUACCAUAUUUAUAUCAGUAACACAUAAUAUAAUACGAUUUUACAGUCAUUUACUUCUUCUUCUUCUUCUUCUUCCUUUUUUGUUCACUGGUAAAUGAUAUAUUGACAACGCUUGGUAUUUUUAUGAUAUAGUUAUUACACUAUCGAUGAUGCUGAUGCUGAUGCUGAUGAUGAUGAUGAUGAUGAUGAUGAUGUUGAUGCUGCUGCUGAUGAUGUUGAUAAUAAUAAUAAUAGUAGUAAUCAUAACAAUAAUCAUAAUAGCGGUAUAACAAUAACAUAAUUAUUAUAAUAAUUACCAUGAAAUAAUACAGAUAGAAAUAUAUACAGCAUGCGUAAUA